CCAUUCAGAAGCACAGGAAUAAGAAUAGGGGGUUUCUUCCUCUCCCCCUUUUCCCUCUCCCCCACCCUUAUGUUGCUGUAUGAGAAAUUCUUGUGGAAUUAGUGGCUUGCAUGUCAUAAAGGACAUUUAUUCCCUGCAAAUUGCAACAACUUGAGAGGAACCCUACUGCAAUCAUAGCACAGUCUGUGUAGCAAGUGCAUGCCUGAAUAGCCAGAUAAAUCCAGCUGAAUUGCAGUUUAGACAUGGAGGGUAAUACUGGCACUUUGUUGCUGCUGAUUCAGAAAACAUAAAAAUUUUUGCAGCCUGAUAUUGCACAAGAUUGUGGGAAGCCAUCCAGAUGACAUCAUUAAAAUGCAGCAGUCCUUAUCUGGCCUGAAGGUUAAAUUCUUCAAUCACCUAAAAUAAUUUGUGCCCUUGGACAAGUUGUGAACCGUUAAGGAAGAAAAAGCUGAAAGAGCUGGAACUUGGAACUGGGACAAGUUAGUCUCUUGUGCUGCUGAAUUUCAAGAUACUCCAUUUCUGGAACUCUGAAAAUGUAGUGAAGGGUCACCAUAUUAGGUCAUAUCCUUUUGACAUGUGAUGUGAAUCGUCAGAAUGAGAAUUGAGUAAAAACAGAGAUGAAGGAACAGAAGUUUUUUAUCAUGCAUAUGCAAUUUAAAAAUAAAAAUAGACAACAUGCAAAGAAAUCUGAAAACCUAGACAUCUGAUUUUUCAAAAGCAUCCCAGAGUUAAUUCUGUUUGAUCCUCCUCUGAAACCUGGCUGUUUUAUUAGCACCAGCAAUAACUUGCAGUAGGAGACUCCAUAGUUUAAUUGCUGUUGGGUGAAAAGGUUUUUCUAUUACCAGACUGAUGUUUCAGCCUUUCAAUUUUGUACAAUUCCCUUGUGUUCUUCUUUCAUGAAAAAGGGUACUUAGCAGAACCCCAUUUAAUUUCUCUGAACGAUUAAUUUCAUUUUUUUCAUUUAGUAAUUUUU
Long non-coding RNA from Passer domesticus (house sparrow), 973 nucleotides. RefSeq lists it as uncharacterized. The record is from RefSeq and is a predicted model, not a curated record. The transcript has 5 exons. NCBI's taxonomy places the organism in Eukaryota, Metazoa, Chordata, Aves, Passeriformes, Passeridae.